This 3112-nucleotide ribosomal RNA is filed under the name Salmonella enterica subsp. enterica serovar Typhimurium str. USDA-ARS-USMARC-1898. Its description in RNAcentral is "bacterial LSU rRNA". It matches the Rfam family "Bacterial large subunit ribosomal RNA". The record is from RNAcentral. Lineage: Bacteria; Pseudomonadati; Pseudomonadota; Gammaproteobacteria; Enterobacterales; Enterobacteriaceae.
GGGUUGUGAGGUUAAGCGACUAAGCGUACACGGUGGAUGCCCUGGCAGUCAGAGGCGAUGAAGGGCGUGCUAAUCUGCGAUAAGCGCCGGUAAGGUGAUAUGAACCGUUAUAACCGGCGAUACCCGAAUGGGGAAACCCAGUGUGAUUCGUCACACUAUCAUUAACUGAAUCCAUAGGUUAAUGAGGCGAACCGGGGGAACUGAAACAUCUAAGUACCCCGAGGAAAAGAAAUCAACCGAGAUUCCCCCAGUAGCGGCGAGCGAACGGGGAGGAGCCCAGAGCCUGAAUCAGCAUGUGUGUUAGUGGAAGCGUCUGGAAAGGCGCGCGAUACAGGGUGACAGCCCCGUACACAAAAGCGCAUGUGCUGUGAGCUCGAUGAGUAGGGCGGGACACGUGGUAUCCUGUCUGAAUAUGGGGGGACCAUCCUCCAAGGCUAAAUACUCCUGACUGACCGAUAGUGAACCAGUACCGUGAGGGAAAGGCGAAAAGAACCCCGGCGAGGGGAGUGAAAAAGAACCUGAAACCGUGUACGUACAAGCAGUGGGAGCCCCACCACUAAGCCAGUGGUGAACUCCACAUCCGCAUCCUUUGCUGAGGAUACGGUUAACGGAGCGAAAGCGACGUUCAACCGCAAAACAAGCAGAGGGGGCUUAGUGGUGGGGUGACUGCGUACCUUUUGUAUAAUGGGUCAGCGACUUAUAUUCUGUAGCAAGGUUAACCGAAUAGGGGAGCCGGAGGGAAACCGAGUCUUAAUUGGGCGUUAAGUUGCAGGGUAUAGACCCGAAACCCGGUGAUCUAGCCAUGGGCAGGUUGAAGGUUGGGUAACACUAACUGGAGGACCGAACCGACUAAUGUUGAAAAAUUAGCGGAUGACCUGUGGCUGGGGGUGAAAGGCCAAUCAAACCGGGAGAUAGCUGGUUCUCCCCGAAAGCUAUUUAGGUAGCGCCUCGUGAAUUCAUCUCCGGGGGUAGAGCACUGUUUCGGCUAGGGGGCCAUCCCGGCUUACCAACCCGAUGCAAACUGCGAAUACCGGAGAAUGUUAUCACGGGAGACACACGGCGGGUGCUAACGUCCGUCGUGAAGAGGGAAACAACCCAGACCGCCAGCUAAGGUCCCAAAGUCAUGGUUAAGUGGGAAACGAUGUGGGAAGGCCCAGACAGCCAGGAUGUUGGCUUAGAAGCAGCCAUCAUUUAAAGAAAGCGUAAUAGCUCACUGGUCGAGUCGGCCUGCGCGGAAGAUGUAACGGGGCUAAACCAUGCACCGAAGCUGCGGCAGCGAACGUAUCACCCAAGACAACUUUACGGAGUUGACGAUUGACGGAGCGAAGCGACGUCAAAGCGUUCAUUAAAGUCGAGUUGGCUUAGGGAUACGUUCGUUGGGUAGGGGAGCGUUCUGUAAGCCCGUGAAGGUGGCCUGUGAGGGUUGCUGGAGGUAUCAGAAGUGCGAAUGCUGACAUAAGUAACGAUAAAGCGGGUGAAAAGCCCGCUCGCCGGAAGACCAAGGGUUCCUGUCCAACGUUAAUCGGGGCAGGGUGAGUCGACCCCUAAGGCGAGGCCGAAAGGCGUAGUCGAUGGGAAACGGGUUAAUAUUCCCGUACUUGGUGUUACUGCGAAGGGGGGACGGAGAAGGCUAUGUUGGCCGGGCGACGGUUGUCCCGGUUUAAGCGUGUAGGUGUGUGUUCCAGGUAAAUCCGGUUCACUUUAACACUGAGGCGUGACGACGAGGCACUACGGUGCUGAAGCAACAAAUGCCCUGCUUCCAGGAAAAGCCUCUAAGCAUCAGGUAACAUCAAAUCGUACCCCAAACCGACACAGGUGGUCAGGUAGAGAAUACCAAGGCGCUUGAGAGAACUCGGGUGAAGGAACUAGGCAAAAUGGUGCCGUAACUUCGGGAGAAGGCACGCUGACACGUAGGUGAAGUGAUUUACUCAUGGAGCUGAAGUCAGUCGAAGAUACCAGCUGGCUGCAACUGUUUAUUAAAAACACAGCACUGUGCAAACACGAAAGUGGACGUAUACGGUGUGACGCCUGCCCGGUGCCGGAAGGUUAAUUGAUGGGGUCAGCGCAAGCGAAGCUCCUGAUCGAAGCCCCGGUAAACGGCGGCCGUAACUAUAACGGUCCUAAGGUAGCGAAAUUCCUUGUCGGGUAAGUUCCGACCUGCACGAAUGGCGUAAUGAUGGCCAGGCUGUCUCCACCCGAGACUCAGUGAAAUUGAACUCGCUGUGAAGAUGCAGUGUACCCGCGGCAAGACGGAAAGACCCCGUGAACCUUUACUAUAGCUUGACACUGAACAUUGAGCCUUGAUGUGUAGGAUAGGUGGGAGGCUUUGAAGUGUGGACGCCAGUCUGCAUGGAGCCGACCUUGAAAUACCACCCUUUAAUGUUUGAUGUUCUAACGUGGACCCGUUACCCGGGUUGCGGACAGUGUCUGGUGGGUAGUUUGACUGGGGCGGUCUCCUCCUAAAGAGUAACGGAGGAGCACGAAGGUUGGCUAAUCCUGGUCGGACAUCAGGAGGUUAGUGCAAUGGCAUAAGCCAGCUUGACUGCGAGCGUGACGGCGCGAGCAGGUGCGAAAGCAGGUCAUAGUGAUCCGGUGGUUCUGAAUGGAAGGGCCAUCGCUCAACGGAUAAAAGGUACUCCGGGGAUAACAGGCUGAUACCGCCCAAGAGUUCAUAUCGACGGCGGUGUUUGGCACCUCGAUGUCGGCUCAUCACAUCCUGGGGCUGAAGUAGGUCCCAAGGGUAUGGCUGUUCGCCAUUUAAAGUGGUACGCGAGCUGGGUUUAGAACGUCGUGAGACAGUUCGGUCCCUAUCUGCCGUGGGCGCUGGAGAACUGAGGGGGGCUGCUCCUAGUACGAGAGGACCGGAGUGGACGCAUCACUGGUGUUCGGGUUGUCAUGCCAAUGGCACUGCCCGGUAGCUAAAUGCGGAAGAGAUAAGUGCUGAAAGCAUCUAAGCACGAAACUUGCCCCGAGAUGAGUUCUCCCUGAGACUUAGAGUCUCCUGAAGGAACGUUGAAGACGACGACGUUGAUAGGCCGGGUGUGUAAGCGCAGCGAUGCGUUGAGCUAACCGGUACUAAUGAACCGUGAGGCUUAACCUUACAACGCCGAAG